GAUGAACGCUGACAGAAUGCUUAACACAUGCAAGUCUACUUGAAGCUAACUUCGGUUAGUGGAGGGUGGCGGACGGGUGAGUAACGCGUAAAGAACUUGCCUCACAGUUUGGGACAACAUUUGGAAACGAAUGCUAAUACCGGAUAUUAUGAUACUUCUGCAUGGAAGAAUCAUGAAAGCUAUAUGCGCUGUGAGAGAGCUUUGCGUCCCAUUAGCUAGUUGGAGAGGUAACGGCUCACCAAGGCGAUGAUGGGUAGCCGGCCUGAGAGGGUGAACGGCCACAAGGGGACUGAGACACGGCCCUUACUCCUACGGGAGGCAGCAGUGGGGAAUAUUGGACAAUGGACCAAAAGUCUGAUCCAGCAAUUCUGUGUGCACGAUGAAGUUUUUCGGAAUGUAAAGUGCUUUCAGUUGGGAAGAAGCAAGUGACGGUACCAACAGAAGAAGCGACGGCUAAAUACGUGCCAGCAGCCGCGGUAAUACGUAUGUCGCAAGCGUUAUCCGGAUUUAUUGGGCGUAAAGCGCGUCUAGGUGGUUAUAUAAGUCUGAUGUGAAAGUGCGGGGCUCAACUCCGUAUUGCGUUGGAAACUGUAUGACUAGAGUACUGGAGAGGUAAGCGGAACUACAAGUGUAGAGGUGAAAUUCGUAGAUAUUUGUAGGAAUGCCGAUGGGGAAGCCAGCUUACUGGACAGAUACUGACGCUAAAGCGCGAAAGCGUGGGUAGCAAACAGG
RNAcentral lists this ribosomal RNA (732 nucleotides) under uncultured bacterium. RNAcentral describes it as "bacterial SSU rRNA". It matches the Rfam family "Bacterial small subunit ribosomal RNA", at positions 28 to 776 of the family's 1533-position model. The record is from RNAcentral.